This 497-nucleotide ribosomal RNA is filed under the name uncultured bacterium. RNAcentral describes it as "partial 16S ribosomal RNA". It matches the Rfam family "Bacterial small subunit ribosomal RNA", at positions 28 to 507 of the family's 1533-position model. The record is from RNAcentral.
GAUGAACGCUGGCGGCGUGCCUAAUACAUGCAAGUCGAGCGAACAGACGAGGAGCUUGCUCCUCUGACGUUAGCGGCGGACGGGUGAGUAACACGUGGAUAACCUACCUAUAAGACUGGGAUAACUUCGGGAAACCGGAGCUAAUACCGGAUAAUAUAUUGAACCGCAUGGUUCAAUAGUGAAAGACGGUUUUGCUGUCACUUAUAGAUGGAUCCGCGCCGCAUUAGCUAGUUGGUAAGGUAACGGCUUACCAAGGCGACGAUGCGUAGCCGACCCGGGAGGGUGAUCGGCCACACUGGAACUGAGACACGGUCCAGACUCCUACGGGAGGCAGCAGUAGGGAAUCUUCCGCAAUGGGCGAAAGCCUGACGGAGCAACGCCGCGUGAGUGAUGAAGGUCUUCGGAUCGUAAAACUCUGUUAUUAGGGAAGAACAAAUGUGUAAGUAACUAUGCACGUCUUGACGGUACCUAAUCAGAAAGCCACGGCUAACUACGUG